AAUGUUGUUGCAACAGUAAUUGAACUUAGUACGAGAGGAACCGUUCAUUUGGAUAAUUGGUAUUUGGGCUUGCCUGAGCAGGCAAUGGCCCGAAGCUAUCAUCCGUUGGUUUAUGGCUGAACGCCUCUAAGAUAGAGCCAGUGCUACUCGACGAGUACCGCCUUUUCCGCUUUUUAGUUGAAUACGAAUAGAUCUUGCAGAGUGGAAAGACUUUGUGAGGCUUCUGCUAAUGUUAAUUUCAAAUAUUGGAGGAGAUAAAUCCAUUGCAGACGACUUUAACUGAACGAGUUAUUGUAAGCUGUUGAGUGGCCUUGUUGCUACGAUCUACUGAGAUGAAGUCCAUUGCUCUAUAGAUUU
The sequence is a ribosomal RNA, 357 nucleotides long. It matches the Rfam family "Eukaryotic large subunit ribosomal RNA", at positions 3004 to 3399 of the family's 3401-position model. The record is from Rfam.